GACUAUCUUGGUGAAUGCAAUAAGAACCGGCUGCUCGCCGCAGCAGAGUGCUUUGCCCAUGCUGCUAUCCGCCGCCGAAGCGCUCAAGGGAUUCGUGCUUGAAUGUCGAGAUCAGGGGACUCUAUCCAAUCCAUGCGGCAAAUCUGUUUGUGGUGGAAAAAACUCAACAAUAAAAAGAAAUAAAUAGAAUAUAGAAAAUCAUUGAAUUUGUUUGCUCCGAUACAAGAGAUCGGCCCCGAAGCAAGAUAUGGUGGGUGCCAGCAACUUUCACUUGUUAGGAGUAGGGGCUGAAAAGAGCUCUUUGUAUAGGUUGGGUUUUCUGGGCUUUGAUUGCUUACCUUCUUAUUAUUAAAAGGGGAAGGUUUAAUAAAGGAGCUUUUCAGCCCUUUUGCUGGAUUGUUGGUCCGCAGCCCCGCCCUAUAGAAUGAAUAAGGAGAGGCUUAUCGAUGACCGAACCACUCUUAUACUACUCCUUACCUCACCCCCCUUGUCACUUAAAGGAAAAGCCAGAGAAGGGGGCCUGCUGGAAACCCUCGCC
Molecule: long non-coding RNA, 538 nt
Filed under: Nicotiana benthamiana
Lineage: Eukaryota; Viridiplantae; Streptophyta; Magnoliopsida; Solanales; Solanaceae
Description: long non-coding RNA (NBEN_LNC018037)
Source: RNAcentral